Molecule: non-coding RNA, 26 nt
Filed under: Cricetulus griseus (Chinese hamster)
Lineage: Eukaryota; Metazoa; Chordata; Mammalia; Rodentia; Cricetidae
Source: RNAcentral
UGAAAGACUGAUCUCUGGACAACAAG